This 422-nucleotide ribosomal RNA is filed under the name uncultured bacterium. Its description in RNAcentral is "bacterial SSU rRNA". It matches the Rfam family "Bacterial small subunit ribosomal RNA", at positions 794 to 1212 of the family's 1533-position model. The record is from RNAcentral.
UCCUAGCCGUAAACGAUGUAGACCAGGUGUGGGGGGUAUCGACCCCUCCCGCGCCGACGCUAACGCAUUAAGUCUACCGCCUGGGGAGUACGACCGCAAGGUUAAAACUCAAAGGAAUUGACGGGGGCCCGCACAAGCGGUGGAUCAUGUGGUUUAAUUCGACGCUACGCGAAGAACCUUACCUGGGCUCGAACGACUGGUGGUACCUCUUUUGAAAGGGAGAGGGACCCGCAAGGGAGCCAGCCGAGGUGCUGCAUGGUUGUCGUCAGCUCGUGUCGUGAGAUGUUGGGUUAAGUCCCGCAACGAGCGCAACCCUUGUCCUGUGUUGCUACCCCGCAAGGGGAGGACUCUCAGGAGACUGCCGUGGAUAACACGGAGGAAGGUGAGGACGACGUCAAAUCAUCAUGGCCUUUAUGUCCAGG